GAUGCCAAAUUAGUUGCUGACUGGAGAACAGAGCAGGAAAUUCUGUGGAAAUACAAGGGCUUAUGUGCCACUCCAAUCAACUGGAGAUUGAAAUGGAGGAUAUGCAUAGAGAGCUAUAAUUUGGAUACAAUCUCUGAAAAGUCUCUUGCUCUGAUAGGCCCAGUGUCAGAUGAUAUGGGCAUCUGAAGGCAUUACAAGAGAAUAUUUAUCAAUUAUCAGAGCAAAUCAUCCAAUUUGCUGAGCAGAGAAGGAAAGCUAAAGCAAUGGGUAACAGAGAUGAAGCAAGGAAGCUAAAUGUGGAAUUUGAACACAAAGCUAAAAAAAACAAAGAAAAAUACUGGAAUGAGCAUUGCAAAGAAGUGGAGGAAAGAAACUGAAAAGUACACACUAAAGAUAUUUUUGCCCAAAAAAGUAAACUUGCGCACUAUUCACU
Candoia aspera is the source of this 433-nucleotide long non-coding RNA. RefSeq lists it as uncharacterized. The transcript has 3 exons. Lineage: Eukaryota; Metazoa; Chordata; Lepidosauria; Squamata; Candoiidae. The record is from RefSeq and is a predicted model, not a curated record.